CAUUGAUCGGGUGCUAUACAUGCAAGUCGAGCGGACAGAAGGGAGCUUGCUCCCGGAUGUUAGCGGCGGACGGGUGAGUAACACGUGGGUAACCUGCCUGUAAGACUGGGAUAACUCCGGGAAACCGGAGCUAAUACCGGAUAGUUCCUUGAACCGCAUGGUUCAAGGAUGAAAGACGGUUUCGGCUGUCACUUACAGAUGGACCCGCGGCGCAUUAGCUAGUUGGUGGGGUAAUGGCUCACCAAGGCGACGAUGCGUAGCCGACCUGAGAGGGUGAUCGGCCACACUGGGACUGAGACACGGCCCAGACUCCUACGGGAGGCAGCAGUAGGGAAUCUUCCGCAAUGGACGAAAGUCUGACGGAGCAACGCCGCGUGAGUGAUGAAGGUUUUCGGAUCGUAAAGCUCUGUUGUUAGGGAAGAACAAGUGCGAGAGUAACUGCUCGCACCUUGACGGUACCUAACCAGAAAGCCACGGCUAACUACGUGCCAGCAGCCGCGGUAAUACGUAGGUGGCAAGCGUUGUCCGGAAUUAUUGGGCGUAAAGGGCUCGCAGGCGGUUUCUUAAGUCUGAUGUGAAAGCCCCCGGCUCAACCGGGGAGGGUCAUUGAAAACUGGGAAACUUGAGUGCAGAAAAGGAGAGUGGAAUUCCACGUGUAGCGGUGAAAUGCGUAAAGAUGUGGAGGAACACCAGUGGCGAAGGCGACUCUCUGGUCUGUAACUGACGCUAAGGAGCGAAAGCGUGGGGAGCGAACAGGAUUAGAUACCCUGGUAGUCCACGCCGUAAACGAUGAGUGCUAAGUGUUAGGGGGGUUUCCGCCCCCUUAGUGCUGCAGCUAACGCAUUAAGCACUCCGCCUGGGGGAGUACGGUCGCAAGACUGAAACUCAAAGGAAUUGACGGGGGGCCCGCCCAAGCCGUUGGAACCAGGUGGGUUUUAUUUCCAAAGCAACGGCGAGGAAACCUUAACCAAG
Molecule: ribosomal RNA, 972 nt
Filed under: Bacillus zhangzhouensis
Lineage: Bacteria; Bacillati; Bacillota; Bacilli; Caryophanales; Bacillaceae
Description: bacterial SSU rRNA
Rfam family: Bacterial small subunit ribosomal RNA
Source: RNAcentral